This 1651-nucleotide ribosomal RNA is filed under the name metagenome. RNAcentral describes it as "bacterial LSU rRNA". It matches the Rfam family "Bacterial large subunit ribosomal RNA", at positions 1292 to 2925 of the family's 2925-position model. The record is from RNAcentral.
UUAUGCUGACAUGAGUAACGACAAUGGGUGUGAAAAACACCCACGCCGAAAGACCAAGGGUUCCUGCGCAACGUUAAUCGACGCAGGGUUAGUCGGUUCCUAAGGCGAGGCUGAAAAGCGUAGUCGAUGGGAAACAGGUUAAUAUUCCUGUACUUCUGGUUACUGCGAUGGAGGGACGGAGAAGGCUAGGCCAGCUUGGCGUUGGUUGUCCAAGUUUAAGGUGGUAGGCUGAAAUCUUAGGUAAAUCCGGGGUUACAAGGCCGAGAGCUGAUGACGAGUCGUCUUUUAGAUGACGAAGAGGUUGAUGCCAUGCUUCCAAGAAAAGCUUCUAAGCUUCAGGUAACCAGGAACCGUACCCCAAACCGACACAGGUGGUCGGGUAGAGAAUACCAAGGCGCUUGAGAGAACUCGGGUGAAGGAACUAGGCAAAAUGGCACCGUAACUUCGGGAGAAGGUGCGCCGGCUAGGGUGAAGGAUUUACUCCGUAAGCUCUGGCUGGUCGAAGAUACCAGGCCGCUGCGACUGUUUAUUAAAAGCACAGCACUCUGCAAACACGAAAGUGGACGUAUAGGGUGUGACGCCUGCCCGGUGCCGGAAGGUUAAUUGAUGGGGUUAGCGCAAGCGAAGCUCUUGAUCGAAGCCCCGGUAAACGGCGGCCGUAACUAUAACGGCCCUAAGGUAGCGAAAUCCCUUGUCGGGUAAGUUCCGACCUGCACGAAUGGCGUAACGAUGGCGGCGCUGUCUCCACCCGAGACUCAGUGAAAUUGAAAUCGCUGUGAAGAUGCAGUGUAUCCGCGGCUAGACGGAAAGACCCCGUGAACCUUUACUGUAGCUUUGCACUGGACUUUGAGCCUGCUUGUGUAGGAUAGGUGGGAGGCUUUGAAGCGUGGACGCCAGUUCGCGUGGAGCCAUCCUUGAAAUACCACCCUGGCAUGCUUGAGGUUCUAACUCUGGUCCGUAAUCCGGAUCGAGGACAGUGUAUGGUGGGCAGUUUGACUGGGGCGGUCUCCUCCUAAAGAGUAACGGAGGAGUACGAAGGUGCGCUCAGACCGGUCGGAAAUCGGUCGCAGAGUAUAAAGGCAAAAGCGCGCUUGACUGCGAGACAGACACGUCGAGCAGGUACGAAAGUAGGUCUUAGUGAUCCGGUGGUUCUGUAUGGAAGGGCCAUCGCUCAACGGAUAAAAGGUACUCCGGGGAUAACAGGCUGAUACCGCCCAAGAGUUCAUAUCGACGGCGGUGUUUGGCACCUCGAUGUCGGCUCAUCACAUCCUGGGGCUGAAGCCGGUCCCAAGGGUAUGGCUGUUCGCCAUUUAAAGUGGUACGCGAGCUGGGUUUAGAACGUCGUGAGACAGUUCGGUCCCUAUCUGCCGUGGACGUUUGAGAUUUGAGAGGGGCUGCUCCUAGUACGAGAGGACCGGAGUGGACGAACCUCUGGUGUUCCGGUUGUCACGCCAGUGGCAUUGCCGGGUAGCUAUGUUCGGAAAAGAUAACCGCUGAAAGCAUCUAAGCGGGAAACUUGCCUCAAGAUGAGAUCUCACUGGGAACUUGAUUCCCCUGAAGGGCCGUCGAAGACUACGACGUUGAUAGGCUGGGUGUGUAAGCGUUGUGAGGCGUUGAGCUAACCAGUACUAAUUGCCCGUGAGGCUUGACC